UACGUAGGGAGCAAGCGUUGUCCGGAAUCAUUGGGCGUAAAGCGCGCGUAGGUGGCUUCGUAAGUCCGUUGUGAAAGUCAAAGGCUCAACCUUUGAAAGCCGAUGGAUACUGCGGAGCUAGAGUACGGAAGAGGCGAGUGGAAUUCCUGGUGUAGCGGUGGAAUGCGCAGAUAUCAGGAGGAACACCAAUAGCGAAGGCAGCUCGCUGGGACGUUACUGACACUGAGGCGCGAAAGCGUGGGGAGCGAUCCGG
Molecule: ribosomal RNA, 253 nt
Filed under: uncultured bacterium
Lineage: Bacteria
Description: partial 16S ribosomal RNA
Rfam family: Bacterial small subunit ribosomal RNA
Source: RNAcentral